RNAcentral lists this ribosomal RNA (499 nucleotides) under uncultured bacterium. RNAcentral's name for it is "partial 16S ribosomal RNA". It matches the Rfam family "Bacterial small subunit ribosomal RNA", at positions 28 to 507 of the family's 1533-position model. The record is from RNAcentral.
GAUGAACGCUGGCGGCGUGCCUAAUACAUGCAAGUCGAGCGAACAGACGAGAGUGCUUGCACUCUCUGACGUUAGCGGCGGACGGGUGAGUAACACGUGGGUAACCUACCUAUAAGACUGGGAUAACUUCGGGAAACCGGAGCUAAUACCGGAUAAUAUUUAGCUUCGCAUGAAGCAAUAGUGAAAGACGGUUCUGCUGUCACUUAUAGAUGGACCCGCGGUGUAUUAGCUAGUUGGUGAGGUAACGGCUCACCAAGGCAACGAUACAUAGCCGACCUGAGAGGGUGAUCGGCCAGACUGGGACUGAGACACGGCCCAGACUCCUACGGGAGGCAGCAGUAGGGAAUCUUCCGCAAUGGACGAAAGUCUGACGGAGCAAUGCCGCGUGAGUGAAGAAGGUUUUCGGAUCGUAAAACUCUGUUGUAAGGGAAGAACAAGUACGUUAGUAACUGAACGUACCUUGACGGUACCUUACCAGAAAGCCACGGCUAACUACGUG